Alligator mississippiensis (American alligator) is the source of this 761-nucleotide long non-coding RNA. RefSeq lists it as uncharacterized. The transcript is spliced from 7 exons. The record is from RefSeq and is a predicted model, not a curated record. Lineage: Eukaryota; Metazoa; Chordata; Crocodylia; Alligatoridae.
UUUUUCCGGAGAAGUUAAUGUUUUACAUACUCCUUUUUCUCCUCUCCCACAUCGUCAUUGUGUUUCUGACCACACCGGGAUCAAAGUGAUACAGAAAGAAAACAGAAAUUCCCAGUCUUCUUUGGGGGCCCCUCGACACAUGCAGAUGUUAAUACCUCUGCAGUCCGAGGGAGGUUGUAUCCUUCUACGUCUACGUCUACGUCUACGUUCUAGCUAGUGCAUCAGUGUGCCGAGUUCAUCAAAUCUGUGAGAGUCCAGAGGCAAGGAUUUCUUAGGGUGAUAUCCAGAGGUGCAUGGAUAUAUCGGUCCCAUAUUGAACCGGCAUUGAUACAGGGAAAAUUGAGAGAGCCAGAGAUAGCAGACAUACAAUUAGCAGAAGAAAAGAAGCUGAUUACUGGGUGAUGAAGGCCCAUCAAAAGGUCUGGGACUGAGGAGAGGAGAAACUUUUUGAUUUGAGGAUGAAGAACCUCCAGAGCUGCAAGACAUGGCACAGGGGUGUUGGGUGGAGAAAGGACACGUGUGGAGCUACGGGAGAAGGCAGAACUGUUGUGUGCUUCUGAUGUAGAGGAUAUCGACUGCACAACCCUCACCUGGUAACUUGUGAAUCUCAACACCUUGUCGAUGAACAAGAGCAUUUCAUCUUACAAGACUGUUCUACAUCUAUCUAAACUGCAGCAACUGGGAGGAUUUUUAAUAUGACCAGAGAGAGAAAGGAGAAAAAGCUGCUCCUUCCCAGCUGCUAGAACAAGGUAAAACUGGAC